AGAAGAAGUUCAGCCCCGAUAGACAGAAAUCCCUUUCGACUUCCUUCUUCCAUCAAGUUUUAGGGUUCAUCCACUGUUCAAUCUGCGACGAUUCUUACAUGUUCUCUGCCACCAAGACUGGAGGUUCGAGAGAUUCAGUGGCUCAAAUCGGUUUUAUCGGCAAAACAUGAAGGGAGCCGAUUGUAAUUUAGAUAUAAUGCCUCCAAGGAAGAAGCAGAAUAAAAGAUCCAACAAGCUGAACUUAAAGAAGAGGACUUUGAGCAAAUCUCAGAAACUGGAGCUGAAGAAACUUGAGGAAGACAUGGAGAAAGAGCUCCUCUCUGCAAAAAAAAUCUGAUUUGUUAAAGAAUGCUUACACUCUUUCUUUACUUCAAAAUUCAUUCAUUAUUUUUGUUUAUAUGAGUUUGGUAUUGAGUUUAUGCAGCAAGUAUGAAAUAUAUGAGGAUGUGUCUUCGCUUUUACAAUCUUCAAAAGUCAUCGGAAGAUCUGAUACGAAGCUGGAGAAACGCAGGAGACCAAUACUCUAAAGCUGGUGUUUUGUCUGAUGAACCAGUCAAGGAAAAUGACAACUCUGAUUUUUGUAUGGGCGAGCCUACCACACCUGAAAUCCAUAUCCCGGCUCUUCAAUCUGAUUCUGACCAACUUAUUCAUCCCAACGAGCUCGAUUCCAAAGUUAUGAUGAUCUCUGCUUAAGAGGUCCGUGAAGAAAAUGAAACGAUGUAUAUGAAUCUACAGACAAUUGUCGUGAUGAUGAAGAAGGCUUACAAAGAAUGGUUUGUCAAUUUUUUUUAAAAAAAAUUGGCUAUGAUGUAUGUUUGGUUUGAUUGGUUUUUAAUGGGUUUUGAUAACGAGAAGUAUGAUGAGAGAGACACAAGGACCUGUGUUUGUAGUUCAUGUUUCAAGACCAGCUGAAGUUGAACAGACGUGGAAGGAUCUUCCUAUAAUUAUGAUGGAGCAGGAGAUCAUGGAGACUCAAUUAUCAUCCCACCGUAAUUAUUUCUGGAAAGACCGGUUGUGGUAAAACCACUCAAGUUCCUCAGUUCCUUAUGAAGCUGGCUUUGGCUCAAAGCAAGUCAGUUCUUGAAGUGUGGUUAUCGGUAUUACACAGCCACAUCGUGUGGCUGUCCUCGCCAGUCGCCACUGACAAGAGGGUGGCUCAUGAGCUUGGUGUUCGUCUCGGUCAAGAAGUCGGUUUCCAAGUUAAGUACGACAAAAAAAAUUGGCUAGAACUCAUCUAUCAAGUUUUAUGACCGAUGGGUAAUACGCAGAAGAGCAACGUCACGAUCUGAAGAGAAUUUCCAUAGCCGCAGCUUCAGCCAUUAAUGGCGGCAGGAAGAAAUCACUUGGUUGCAGAGGAGGGAGGACAUCACACUUGGCGGUUGUGGUUGGUUUGUGUAACUGGCACCUGCACUUCCUGUCAAGUUCUCCAAUGACAUCGAGGGGAUUCAGUUUAUAAACAGCAUAAGAAAAAGUCAUGUUGAUGCUUAUAUCAAGCGCGUCACUGAACUCCCAUUUGAGGUUUUAUGAUUAUCAAGUUUUAUGAUUAUGAAGGUGAGGAAUUUACUUACCGAAUUCAUGUUUCCAAUGAAUAUCUUACUCUCAUCA
Molecule: long non-coding RNA, 1605 nt
Organism: Brassica oleracea var. oleracea
Lineage: Eukaryota; Viridiplantae; Streptophyta; Magnoliopsida; Brassicales; Brassicaceae
Exons: 5
Source: RefSeq, a predicted model, not a curated record